AGAGUUUGAUCCUGGCUCAGAUUGAACGCUGGCGGCAUGCCUAACACAUGCAAGUCGAACGGCAGCACAGUCGUAGCAAUACGAUGGGUGGCGAGUGGCGGACGGGUGAGUAAUGCAUCGGGAUCUACCCUGACGUGGGGGAUAACCUCGGGAAACCGGGACUAAUACCGCAUACGUCCUACGGGAGAAAGCGGGGGACCUUCGGGCCUCGCGCGGCAGGACGAACCGAUGUGCGAUUAGCUAGUUGGCGGGGUAAUGGCCCACCAAGGCGACGAUCGCUAGCUGGUCUGAGAGGAUGAUCAGCCACACUGGGACUGAGACACGGCCCAGACUCCUACGGGAGGCAGCAGUGGGGAAUAUUGGACAAUGGGCGCAAGCCUGAUCCAGCAAUGCCGCGUGUGUGAAGAAGGCCUUCGGGUUGUAAAGCACUUUUAUCAGGAGCGAAAUACCACGGGUUAAUACCC
This 464-nucleotide ribosomal RNA is filed under the name uncultured bacterium. RNAcentral describes it as "bacterial SSU rRNA". It matches the Rfam family "Bacterial small subunit ribosomal RNA", at positions 8 to 465 of the family's 1533-position model. The record is from RNAcentral.